AGAUUUCAUAUGUUAAAAACGCAUACUAGUCUUAAAAUUGAGAUAGUUUGGUGAAACAUGUAAUUUGGUUAUUACUGAUCAGACUUGUAUCAAGUUUCAACAUAGGAAAUCUAGUUAUAACUACGCAUAUGUGGCCUCGAAUCUCCACAUCACGAUCAAUCUAGUACACUUCUUAUUUUUAUUUUGUUCAUGUGAGACGUUGGUAGGUACGGUACAGUGUCUAUGUGUAAAACUGUAUAAAAUGUGUGUGGUGUAUGUAUAUGUCGCACGGUCGAAAUAGAAUUGAAAACGCAUGCACACGAACCACCCGUGAGUCAACAAACCAAAUGGUUUGUGUGAUUGGUUGACACGUGCGAGGCUCUCUACUCCAGAUGUUUUAUCAAGCCUCGUCGUAUUCCUUAUAUAAAGUCACCGUUGGCUGCGUGGAUCCUCCACCUCCACUGUAUAUCUUCUUCUAUAAAGUAUCUAGGGUUCCUCAGUCCUCCUUCACAAAAAUAUCCUAUUUUUCUUAUAAGCUCUUAAGAAUAAUAUUGAGACUAAAAAAAAUAAAAAAUACAUGGUAGAUAUCAGAAGAGAAGACGGAGAUGAUGAUGAUCAAAAGUGGUUGGGUUCGAUGCUAGGCUUGUCAAAGUUCAGGAACUACCCCUUUGUCCAUUGAAAGAUGUUAUGCAUGCAAAUUAUAUUUAGUUUUUUAAGUAAACAUUAGUUUUAUCAUGGGGUUCAAUGUUGACCAGUAAUUAAAAUAGAUCACUGCUAUUUAUAAUA
Molecule: long non-coding RNA, 765 nt
Organism: Brassica napus (rape)
Lineage: Eukaryota; Viridiplantae; Streptophyta; Magnoliopsida; Brassicales; Brassicaceae
Exons: 2
Source: RefSeq, a predicted model, not a curated record